This 253-nucleotide ribosomal RNA is filed under the name uncultured bacterium. Its description in RNAcentral is "partial 16S ribosomal RNA". It matches the Rfam family "Bacterial small subunit ribosomal RNA", at positions 524 to 776 of the family's 1533-position model. The record is from RNAcentral.
UACGUAGGGGGCAAGCGUUGUCCGGAUUUACUGGGCGUAAAGAGCGUGUAGGCGGCCAAACAGGUCCGUUGUGAAAACUGGAGGCUCAACCUCCAGACGUCGACGGAAACCGUAUGGCUAGAGUCCGGAAGAGGAGAGUGGAAUUCCAGGUGUAGCGGUGAAAUGCGUAGAUAUCUGGAGGAACACCGAUGGCGAAGGCAGGUCUCUGGGCAUUAACUGACGCUGAGGAGCGAAAGCAUGGGGAGCGAACAGG